This 270-nucleotide ribosomal RNA is filed under the name uncultured archaeon. RNAcentral describes it as "partial 16S ribosomal RNA". It matches the Rfam family "Archaeal small subunit ribosomal RNA", at positions 477 to 747 of the family's 1478-position model. The record is from RNAcentral.
CAGCACCUCAAGUGGUCAGGAUGAUCAUUGGGCCUAAAGCGUCCGUAGCCGGCGCUGUAAGUUUUCGGUUAAAUCUGUACGCUCAACGUACAGGCUGCCGGGAAUACUGCAGCGCUAGGGAGUGGGAGAGGUAGACGGUACUCGGUAGGAAGGGGUAAAAUCCUUUGAUCUAUUGAUGACCACCUGUGGCGAAGGCGGUCUACCAGAACACGUCCGACGGUGAGGGAUGAAAGCUGGGGGAGCAAACCGGAUUAGAUACCCGAGUAGUCC